Molecule: long non-coding RNA, 214 nt
Filed under: Lathyrus oleraceus (garden pea)
Lineage: Eukaryota; Viridiplantae; Streptophyta; Magnoliopsida; Fabales; Fabaceae
Description: Pisum sativum (pea) long non-coding RNA (PSAT_LNC014698)
Source: RNAcentral
AACACUGCACUGAGCAACCUUGCUGAGGAGAAACCAAAAGAGGUUCGAUAGGAGAAAGAUAACGUUAUGCUCGAGAUACGAACAAAUGUCUUUCCUGUUGGUAAUCAUAUCACCCUCGGGAGAGCACUGCGGAUCUCCUAAGUAUCCUUCCAUCAUCGUGAAUGUUCACUUUGUUUAAGAACAAUUUUUUUUGAAAAAUUUGUUUAUUUUGAAA